RNAcentral lists this ribosomal RNA (229 nucleotides) under uncultured bacterium. RNAcentral describes it as "partial 16S ribosomal RNA". It matches the Rfam family "Bacterial small subunit ribosomal RNA", at positions 568 to 796 of the family's 1533-position model. The record is from RNAcentral.
UGCGCAGGCGGGCUUGUAAGUCAGUGGUGAAAUACUGCCGCUUAACGGUAGAACUGCCAUUGAUACUGCGAGUCUUGAAUAUGGUUGAGGUAGGCGGAAUGUGUUGUGUAGCGGUGAAAUGCAUAGAUAUGACACAGAACGCCGAUUGCGAAGGCAGCUUACUAAGCCAUUAUUGACGCUGAGGCACGAAAGCGUGGGGAGCGAACAGGAUUAGAUACCCUGGUAGUCC